CAAGCGCAUAGCCGGGUAGCCAAGCCGGGACGGGAUAAACGCUGAAGGCAUCUAAGCGUGAAGCCCCCCUCAAGAUGAGAUUUCCCAUGGAGAAAUCCAGUAAGACCCCUUGAAGACUACGAGGUAGAUAGGGCAGAGGUGGAAGUGCAGUAAUGUACGGAGCUGACUGUUACUAAUCGGUCGAGGGCUUGAUUAA
This 196-nucleotide ribosomal RNA is filed under the name Lachnospiraceae bacterium. RNAcentral's name for it is "partial 23S ribosomal RNA". It matches the Rfam family "Bacterial large subunit ribosomal RNA", at positions 2730 to 2925 of the family's 2925-position model. The record is from RNAcentral. Lineage: Bacteria; Bacillati; Bacillota; Clostridia; Lachnospirales; Lachnospiraceae.